UGUUCUGAUGAGGCAUCUAUUUUGGGUACAACCCAAGUAUUGACCUGCCCCAUAAUAAUGUUAUGUAUAUCGUGCAUUACUGCUAGCCAACAUGAAUAUUAUAUA
Molecule: non-coding RNA, 105 nt
Organism: Macaca mulatta (Rhesus monkey)
Lineage: Eukaryota; Metazoa; Chordata; Mammalia; Primates; Cercopithecidae
Source: Rfam